This 253-nucleotide ribosomal RNA is filed under the name uncultured bacterium. Its description in RNAcentral is "partial 16S ribosomal RNA". It matches the Rfam family "Bacterial small subunit ribosomal RNA", at positions 524 to 776 of the family's 1533-position model. The record is from RNAcentral.
UACGUAGGGGACAAGCGUUGUCCGGAUUUACUGGGCGUAAAGAGCGCGCAGGCGGUCGUUCAAGUCGAGUGUGAAAGCCCCCGGCUCAACUGGGGAGGGUCACUCGAUACUGAUCGACUUGAAGGCAGGAGAGGGAAGCGGAAUUCCCGGUGUAGUGGUGAAAUGCGUAGAUAUCGGGAGGAACACCAGUGGCGCAAGCGGCUGCCUGGGUAUGACCUGACACUGAGCCACGACGGCGUGGGGAGCAAACGGG